AUUGAACGCUGGCGGCAUGCCUUACACAUGCAAGUCGAACGGUAACGGGCCUUCGGGUGCCGACGAGUGGCGAACGGGUGCGUAAUACAUCGGAACGUGCCCGAUCGUGGGGGAUAACGAGGCGAAAGCUUUGCUAAUACCGCAUACGAUCUACGGAUGAAAGCAGGGGACCGCAAGGCCUUGCGCGGACGGAGCGGCCGAUGGCAGAUUAGGUAGUUGGUGGGAUAAAAGCUUACCAAGCCGACGAUCUGUAGCUGGUCUGAGAGGAUGAUCAGCCACACUGGGACUGAGACACGGCCCAGACUCCUACGGGAGGCAGCAGUGGGGAAUUUUGGACAAUGGGCGCGAGCCUGAUCCAGCCAUGCCGCGUGCAGGAUGAAGGCCUUCGGGUUGUAAACUGCUUUUGUACGGAACGAAAAGCCUUCUUUUAAUACAGGAGGGUCAUGACGGUACCGUAAGAAUAAGCACCGGCUAACUACGUG
This 482-nucleotide ribosomal RNA is filed under the name uncultured bacterium. Its description in RNAcentral is "partial 16S ribosomal RNA". It matches the Rfam family "Bacterial small subunit ribosomal RNA", at positions 30 to 507 of the family's 1533-position model. The record is from RNAcentral.